CCUACGGGGGGCUGCAGUGAGGAAUAUUGGUCAAUGGCCGCAGGGCUGAACCAGCCAAGUCGCGUGAGGGAUGACGGUCCUAUGGAUUGUAAACCUCUUUUGUCAGGGAGCAAAGGGCGCCACGUGUGGCGCUUUGCGAGUACCUGAAGAAAAAGCAUCGGCUAACUCCGUGCCAGCAGCCGCGGUAAUACGGAGGAUGCGAGCGUGAUCCGGAUUUAUUGGGGUUAAAGGGCGCGCAGGCGGAAUGUCAAGUCAGCGGUAAAAUUUCGGGGCUCAACCCCGUCGUGCCGUUGAAACUGGCGUUCUUGAGUGAGCGAGAAGUAUGCGGAAUGCGUGGUGUAGCGGUGAAAUGCAUAGAUAUCACGCAGAACUCCGAUUGCGAAGGCAGCAUACCGGCGCUCAACUGACGCUCAUGCACGAAGGCGUGGGUAUCGAACGGGAUUAGAUACCCGGGUAGUC
This 459-nucleotide ribosomal RNA is filed under the name uncultured bacterium. RNAcentral describes it as "partial 16S ribosomal RNA". It matches the Rfam family "Bacterial small subunit ribosomal RNA", at positions 338 to 795 of the family's 1533-position model. The record is from RNAcentral.